Molecule: ribosomal RNA, 1389 nt
Filed under: uncultured bacterium
Lineage: Bacteria
Description: bacterial SSU rRNA
Rfam family: Bacterial small subunit ribosomal RNA
Source: RNAcentral
AGUUUGUUCAUGGCUCAAGGCGAACGCCUGGCGGCGUGCUUAACACAUGCAAGUUCGAACGAUGAAGCCUAGCUUGCUAGGUGGAUUAGUUGGCGAACGGGUGAGUAAUACGUUGAGUUGACCUACCUUUGACUCUGGGAUAAGCCUGGGAAACUGGGUCUAAUACCGGAUACGACCAAUCUCCGCAUGGGGUGUUGGUGGAAAGCGUUAUGGAGUGGUUUUAGAUGGGCUCACGGCCUAUCAGCUUGUUGGUGAGGUAAUGGCUUACCAAGGCGACGACGGGUAGCCGGCCUGAGAGGGUGACCGGCCACACUGGGACUGAGACACGGCCCAGACUCCUACGGGAGGCAGCAGUGGGGAAUAUUGCACAAUGGGCGCAAGCCUGAUGCAGCGACGCCGCGUGAGGGAUGACGGCCUUCGGGUUGUAAACCUCUGUUAGCAUCGAAGAAGCGAAAGUGACGGUAGGUGCAGAGAAAGCGCCGGCUAACUACGUGCCAGCAGCCGCGGUAAUACGUAGGGCGCGAGCGUUGUCCGGAAUUAUUGGGCGUAAAGAGCUUGUAGGCGGUUGGUCGCGUCUGCUGUGAAAGGCUGGGGCUUAACCCUGGUUUUGCAGUGGGUACGGGCUAACUAGAGUGCAGUAGGGGAGACUGGAAUUCCUGGUGUAGCGGUGGAAUGCGCAGAUAUCAGGAGGAACACCGAUGGCGAAGGCAGGUCUCUGGGCUGUAACUGACGCUGAGAAGCGAAAGCAUGGGGAGCGAACAGGAUUAGAUACCCUGGUAGUCCAUGCCGUAAACGUUGGGCACUAGGUGUGGGGGACAUUCCACGUUUUCCGCGCCGUAGCUAACGCAUUAAGUGCCCCGCCUGGGGAGUACGGCCGCAAGGCUAAAACUCAAAGAAAUUGACGGGGGCCCGCACAAGCGGCGGAGCAUGCGGAUUAAUUCGAUGCAACGCGAAGAACCUUACCAAGGCUUGACAUAUACUGGACUGCGUCAGAGAUGGCGUUUCCCUUCGGGGCUGGUAUACAGGUGGUGCAUGGUUGUCGUCAGCUCGUGUCGUGAGAUGUUGGGUUAAGUCCCGCAACGAGCGCAACCCUCGUUCUAUGUUGCCAGCACGUGAUGGUGGGGACUCAUAGGAGACUGCCGGGGUCAAACUCGGAGGAAGGUGGGGAUGACGUCAAAUCAUCAUGCCCCUUAUGUCUUGGGCUUCACGCAUGCUACGAUGGCCGGUACAGAGGGUUGCGAUACUGUGAGGUGGAGCUAAUCCCUAAAAGCCGGUCUCAGUUCGGAUUGGGGUCUGCAACUCGACCCCGUGAAGUGGGAGUCGCUAGUAAUCGCAGAUCGGGCAAACGCUGCGGUAAAUACGGUUCCCCGGCCCUUGUUCGCCCCCCCC